Molecule: ribosomal RNA, 253 nt
Filed under: uncultured bacterium
Lineage: Bacteria
Description: partial 16S ribosomal RNA
Rfam family: Bacterial small subunit ribosomal RNA
Source: RNAcentral
UACAUGGGGUGCAAACGUUGCUCGGAAUUACUGGGCGUAAAGAGCGCGCAGGCGGUCGUUCAAGUCGAGUGUGAAAGCCCCCGGCUCAACUGGGGAGGGUCACGCGAUACUGAUCGACUCGAAGGCAGGAGAGGGUAGUGGAAUUCCCGGUGUAGUGGUGAAAUGCGUAGAUAUCGGGAGGAACGCCAGUGGCGAAGGCGACUACCUGGCCUGUUCUUGACGCUGAGGCGCGAAAGCUAGGGGAGCAAACGGG